RNAcentral lists this ribosomal RNA (1254 nucleotides) under Triticum aestivum (bread wheat). RNAcentral describes it as "partial small subunit ribosomal RNA". Lineage: Eukaryota; Viridiplantae; Streptophyta; Magnoliopsida; Poales; Poaceae. The record is from RNAcentral.
AUGGGGAUACAUGAAGAUGGAGGCAAUUUCUUCCUGUUCAGUGAUGCAAGUGUAUAUGUACAGCUGAAUAAAGAUGGUACUAUCACUGCAGCUAAACUUGGGGAAUGUGGAUCUGUGUUGUGGUCUGCUCAUGCUCCACAUAAUCAUAAGAUUCAUAGUGUUGUUAUCCUGACAGUGAUAGUUGUGUUAACCCUCCUCCUCACUGCUCUAGUUCUUUUGUGGAUAAUUCAGAAGAAGUCGGUUAUGGAUAGACCGGGGAAUUCGAACAGAAGCCUCACGAUCUUCUCGAACGCACAAAUAAAGAAGGCUACCAGAAAUUUCUCGGUAAAGCUUGGAGAAGGAGGCUUUGGCUGUGUUUUCAAGGGAACAUUGCAAGGCUCCACUUUGGUGGCUGUCAAGAAGCAAAAAGACUUUGGACAAGGGGAGAAGCAAUUCCGAGCGGAAGUGCAGACGAUUGGAAUGAUCCAACACAUCAAUGUUGUUCGUUUAUUUGGAUUUUGCGCCGAAGGAAGUAAAAGGCUGCUGGUGUAUGAGUACAUGGAGAAUGGAUCUUUGAGUUCUCAUCUGUUUUCGAAAAGCCCGGCAACUUUGGUCUGGGAGCUCCGGUACCGCAUAGGACUUGGAACUGCAAGAGGCUUGGCUUACCUGCAUGAGGGAUGCACGGAUUGCAUCAUACACUGCGGCAUGAAGCCGGACAAUGUACUCCUUGACGCAGAUUUCUGUCCCAAGGUUGCAGACUUCGGCAUGGCCAAACUUCUUGGCCGGGAUUUUAGCAGGGCAUUGACAACGAUGCGUGGGACCAUCGGAUACCUUGCGCCGGAGUGGAUCUCAGGGCUACCGAUCACACAUAAGGCUGAUGUCUACAGCUACGGAAUGAUGCUACUUGAAAUCGUAUCAGGGCGAAGGAAUGCGGAGAAAAUCAAACAGGGGAGGUUUACUUACUUUCCCAUCUUUGCUGCAGUGAAGGUGAAUGAAGGAGAUGUUAUGUGCCUGCUGGAUAGCAGGUUGGAAGACGAUGUGGAUGUGGAUGUGGAGCAGCUGAUGAGGGUUUGCAGAACUGCAUGCUGGUGCAUUCAAGAUGCUGAAGAUCAUAGGCCGAUGAUGGGGCAAGUUGUUCAGAUGCUACAAGGCGUUCUGGAUGUCCAGCUUGGAAGCAGGUGGACAUUGAAAAGGAUGGAGAUCACAAGAUCACAGCACAAAAAUAAUCACGCAAAGCAAACAAGGAUGAUCAUGAUGCAUGACACAACAAAAUGA